RNAcentral lists this ribosomal RNA (497 nucleotides) under uncultured bacterium. RNAcentral describes it as "partial 16S ribosomal RNA". It matches the Rfam family "Bacterial small subunit ribosomal RNA", at positions 28 to 507 of the family's 1533-position model. The record is from RNAcentral.
GAUGAACGCUGGCGGCGUGCCUAAUACAUGCAAGUCGAGCGAACAGACGAGGAGCUUGCUCCUCUGACGUUAGCGGCGGACGGGUGAGUCACACGUGGAUAACCUACCUAUAAGACUGGGAUAACUUCGGGAAACCGGAGCUAAUACCGUAUAAUAUAUUGAACCGCAUGGUUCAAUAGUGAAAGACGGUUUUGCUGUCACUUAUAGAUGGAUCCGCGCCGCAUUAGCUAGUUGGUAAGGUAACGGCUUACCAAGGCAACGAUGCGUAGCCGACCUGAGAGGGUGAUCGGCCACACUGGAGCGGAGACACGGUCCAGACUCCUACGGGAGGCAGCAGUAGGGAAUCGUCCGCAAUAGGCGAAAGCCUGACGGAGCAACGCCGCGUGAGUGAUGAAGGUCUUCGGAUCGUAAAACUCUGUUAUUAGGGGAGAACAAAUGUGUAAGUAACUAUGCACGUCUUGACGGUAACUAGUCAGAAAGCCACGGCUAACUACGUG